GGAGAAAUACCCAAGAGGUCGAAGGGGCUCCCCUGGAAAGGGAGUAGGUCAUGUGAGUGGUGCGAGGGUUCGAAUCCCUCUUUCUCCG
This 88-nucleotide transfer RNA is filed under the name Candidatus Parepulonipiscium sp. PG-Nun2H_MBin03. RNAcentral's name for it is "Epulopiscium sp. Nuni2H_MBin003 tRNA". It matches the Rfam family "tRNA". From Rfam's summary of the family: Transfer RNA (tRNA) molecules are approximately 80 nucleotides in length. Their secondary structure includes four short double-helical elements and three loops (D, anti-codon, and T loops). Lineage: Bacteria; Bacillati; Bacillota; Clostridia; Lachnospirales; Lachnospiraceae. The record is from Rfam by way of RNAcentral.